CCUACGGGAGGCACCAGUGGGGAAUAUUGCACAAUGGGCGCAAGCCUGAUGCAGCCAUGCCGCGUGUAUGAAGAAGGCCCUAGGGUUGUAAAGUACUUUCAGUCGGGAGGAAGGCGUUGAUGCUAAUAUCAUCGGCGAUUGACGUUACCGACAGAAGAAGCACCGGCUAACUCCGUGCCAGCAGCCGCGGUAAUACGGAGGGUGCAAGCGUUAAUCGGAAUUACUGGGCGUAAAGCGCGCGCAGGCGGUUGAUUAAGUUAGAUGUGAAAUCCCCGGGCUUAACCUGGGAAUGGCAUCUAAGACUGGUCAGCUAGAGUCUUGUAGAGGGGGGUAGAAUUCCAUGUGUAGCGGUGAAAUGCGUAGAGAUGUGGAGGAAUACCGGUGGCGAAGGCGGCCCCCUGGACAAAGGCUGACGCUCAGGUGCGAAAGCGUGGGGAGCAAACAGGAUUAGAUACCCGCGUAGUC
Molecule: ribosomal RNA, 465 nt
Filed under: uncultured bacterium
Lineage: Bacteria
Description: bacterial SSU rRNA
Rfam family: Bacterial small subunit ribosomal RNA
Source: RNAcentral